RNAcentral lists this ribosomal RNA (524 nucleotides) under Fusarium proliferatum. Its description in RNAcentral is "eukaryotic LSU rRNA". The stretch from base 143 to 296 matches the Rfam family "5.8S ribosomal RNA". Lineage: Eukaryota; Fungi; Ascomycota; Sordariomycetes; Hypocreales; Nectriaceae. The record is from RNAcentral.
AUCGAGUAACUCCAACCCCUGUGACAUACCAAUUGUUGCCUCGGCGGAUCAGCCCGCUCCCGGUAAAACGGGACGGCCCGCCAGAGGACCCCUAAACUCUGUUUCUAUAUGUAACUUCUGAGUAAAACCAUAAAUAAAUCAAAACUUUCAACAACGGAUCUCUUGGUUCUGGCAUCGAUGAAGAACGCAGCAAAAUGCGAUAAGUAAUGUGAAUUGCAGAAUUCAGUGAAUCAUCGAAUCUUUGAACGCACAUUGCGCCCGCCAGUAUUCUGGCGGGCAUGCCUGUUCGAGCGUCAUUUCAACCCUCAAGCCCCCGGGUUUGGUGUUGGGGAUCGGCGAGCCCUUGCGGCAAGCCGGCCCCGAAAUCUAGUGGCGGUCUCGCUGCAGCUUCCAUUGCGUAGUAGUAAAACCCUCGCAACUGGUACGCGGCGCGGCCAAGCCGUUAAACCCCCAACUUCUGAAUGUUGACCUCGGAUCAGGUAGGAAUACCCGCUGAACUUAAGCAUAUCAAUAAGCCGGAGGAA